AGUUUGAUCCUGGCUCAGGAUGAACGCUAGCUACAGGCUUAACACAUGCAAGUCGAGGGGCAGCAUUGGGGUAGCAAUACUUCAGAUGGCGACCGGCGCACGGGUGAGUAACACGUAUCCAACCUGCCGCUUACUCGGGGAUAGCCUUUCGAAAGAAAGAUUAAUACCCGAUGGUAUAAAGAGUUCGCAUGUUCUCUUUAUUAAAGAAUUUCGGUAAGCGAUGGGGAUGCGUUCCAUUAGAUUGUUGGCGGGGUAACGGCCCACCAAGUCUACGAUGGAUAGGGGUUCUGAGAGGAAGGUCCCCCACAUUGGAACUGAGACACGGUCCAAAUCCUACGGGAGGCAGCAGUGAGGAAUAUUGGUCAAUGGACGAGAGUCUGAACCAGCCAAGUAGCGUGAAGGAUGACUGCCCUAUGGGUUGUAAACUUCUUUUAUAAGGGAAUAAAGUGAGGGACGUGUCCCUUUUUGUAUGUACCUUAUGAAUAAGGAUCGGCUAACUCCGUGCCAGCAGCCGCGGUAAUACGGAGGAUCCAAGCGUUAUCCGGAUUUAUUGGGUUUAAAGGGAGCGUAGGUUGACAUAUAAGUCAGCUGUGAAAGUUUACGGCUCAACCGUGAAAUUGCAGUUGAUACUGUAUGUCUUGAGUGUACAAGAGGUGGGCGGAAUUCGUGGUGUAGCGGUGAAAUGCUUAGAUAUCACGAAGAACUCCAAUUGCGAAGGCAGCUCACUGGGGUACAACUGACACUGAGGCUCGAAAGUGUGGGUAUCAAACAGGAUUAGAUACCCUGGUAGUCCACACAGUAAACGAUGAAUACUCGCUGUUUGCGAUAUACAGUAAGCGGCCAAGCGAAAGCAUUAAGUAUUCCACCUGGGGAGUACGCCGGCAACGGUGAAACUCAAAGGAAUUGACGGGGGCCCGCACAAGCGGAGGAACAUGUGGUUUAAUUCGAUGAUACGCGAGGAACCUUACCCGGGCUUGAAUUGCAGAGGAACAUAGUUGAAAGAUUAUGGCCGCAAGGUCUCUGUGAAGGUGCUGCAUGGUUGUCGUCAGCUCGUGCCGUGAGGUGUCGGCUUAAGUGCCAUAACGAGCGCAACCCUUAUCAUUAGUUACUAACAGGUCAUGCUGAGGACUCUAGUGAGACUGNCGUCGUAAGAUGUGAG
Molecule: ribosomal RNA, 1159 nt
Filed under: uncultured Bacteroides sp.
Lineage: Bacteria; Pseudomonadati; Bacteroidota; Bacteroidia; Bacteroidales; Bacteroidaceae
Description: bacterial SSU rRNA
Rfam family: Bacterial small subunit ribosomal RNA
Source: RNAcentral